RNAcentral lists this microRNA precursor (90 nucleotides) under Petromyzon marinus (sea lamprey). Its description in RNAcentral is "microRNA pma-mir-125 precursor". Its record names the gene pma-mir-125. The stretch from base 11 to 78 matches the Rfam family "lin-4 microRNA precursor family", at positions 1 to 71 of the family's 80-position model. Rfam says of the family: The extents of the hairpin precursors are not generally known and are estimated based on hairpin prediction. The record is from miRBase by way of RNAcentral. Lineage: Eukaryota; Metazoa; Chordata; Hyperoartia; Petromyzontiformes; Petromyzontidae.
CGAGCCUUUUGCGCGAUCCCUGAGACCCUAACUUGUGAGUUGGUUGCCCUGUCACUGGUUAGGCUCUUGGGAACCGUGCAGAAUGGCAAA